UUUUUCUGUCUUCAUAUUUCAUUCUUGUAGGUUUCCCUGGUGAUCAAUUAUGACCUUCCUAACAAUAGGGAGCUUUACAUUCAUCGUAUUGGACGAUCUGGCCGUUUCGGGAGAAAGGGCGUUGCAAUCAACUUUGUUAAAAGUGAUGAUAUCAAAAUCUUACGAGAUAUAGAGCAGUACUACAGUACCCAGAUAGAUGAAAUGCCUAUGAAUGUGGCCGAUCUAAUUUGAGCUUGGACUUCCAUGGCAAUAGAAGAGACGAAGUUUUAAUUUGACAUGCAAAAUGUGCAUGCUACCUGUGAAUUUCAUGUUGCUUAUCUAUCGGUACUGGUUAAUUAUUGUCCUUGGACCUUAUCGAUGAAAAGGAACAAUUGGGUUUGAUAUCUCAUGUUUAGCUUUCAGUGGUUUUGAAUGGAUAACGUUUAUGUAUUAUACGUCAAAUCAUUAUUAGUUAGUCCAUGCAAUGUUCUCGACUUGAUUUGUAGCGUGCCUGUUGAAUUUGCUGGCUUGGAUUG
Olea europaea var. sylvestris is the source of this 515-nucleotide long non-coding RNA. RefSeq lists it as uncharacterized. The transcript has 2 exons. The record is from RefSeq and is a predicted model, not a curated record. NCBI's taxonomy places the organism in Eukaryota, Viridiplantae, Streptophyta, Magnoliopsida, Lamiales, Oleaceae.